CCGUAACGGUGUGUAGAGAAGCUGGCGCCUCUCUCUUUUCCCCUCCGUGCUGCCAACGCACUCACACGGCUGCGACACGCACACACGCACAGAACAAGGACCUCUCUUUCCCCCUCCGCAGGGCGCGCUCAAUUUUGUUUUUGUGCGUGUCCUGCUGAUCUCACUCCAACAGCACCGUGCGCGCACCUCACUCGUGGCUCGUGGCCCCGCGUGUGCUAUUGAGUGACGUCUAGACGCAACGAACGAAGGGCACGUGUGCUGCUGCCCUUCGCUCCACGCGUCCAGGCGUGCGCCGUCUCCCCUUCGCCUCGCAAAGACAGAAAGAGAGAGCGAUCUCUCUUGCGAACGUCGUUGUUGCAGCCGACGGGGCAAACGUGGGCAGAGGCCCCCACCCCCACAUAUCUAUACAUACACCCACACAAACCGACGCACGCACUGAAAGACGAGGAAAUCAUACACAUAUGCAGAGGCCGACACGGACGUCUUCGUUUCUUGCGUUUUCCUUCGCGUGUUGUGUUGCUGUUAGCUCAUUCCUUAGACUGCUAGAUCUACAGAGACUCGCGUAGGUAAGUGUGUGUGUGUGUGCGUGUUUAUCGCUCAAUCCACCCGCGUCACGUCUCUCCGCUUCUGCCCUGAACUCGAGUUACGCAUCAGCACGUACAGAGGCAGGCACACCACCAUCAGGCAAGUCUACUUGACGCCUUAGCGCAUCGGUCUGUGUGUUUCCGUUGGUCGGAUACGCGCAGAAUAUUGCCACCUUAUCGCUGAGGGCAAGCUGUGUACGGCAUCGGGUGCGAACCGAACCGCCAGCCGCAUCCGCGACUCUGUCAAUAUGGACGCCUUCAGCCGCAGCAAGUCCUACAGCCAGGCGGCCUCGACUUCCACCCCACCCCCAUCGCGUUCUGGGGCCGCCGCGCCAGGUUCCACCGCCGCCCAACAGCAGCAACAUGUCUUCAAAAACAUUUUGAAGAGCGUGGAGAGCCACGUGCGGAUCAUGUCCGCGGUGGAGCGGACGGCGACGUCGUCGAGCUACACGUCUUUGCGUGUUCGCCAGCCAGACAGCGACGGCGCAGGUGACAGCGGCACCGCUUCUUCUUCAUCGCAGGGCCCGCAGAGCAGCCAGUCCGCCGGCGGGUGGUCGCAGCCGUUCAACGUCACCCGCGUUCACCGUGGUGGGACGACAGCGCGCUUCUACGAGGAGGUGGUGGCGCCGUGCGUGUCGAACUGCACAUCCGGGCAGAGCUACGUCUUUCUAGUGAACGGGCCGCCUGAGAGCGGUCGUAGCCAGACCCUCUACGGCAGCCCUCACCACAGCGAGCUGGGCAUCGUCGAGCUGGCGGCAUCCGACUUGCUGGAGCGGAUGGCGUCCCGCGGCAAGGUCAUCAUGCGGAACCAUCGUGAUCGCCCGGACGCCACCGGGAAGGAAAACGAAGCAGCCUGCGGCACACAGUCGUCGACCACCGCCAACAGCGGGCGGGAGGAUGUGUCGGAGGUGGCCACGACCGGUGGCAUCACCGUGACCUACGCCGCCUUCACCACCCGCGGUGGCAAGAUGCUUGAGACGGAAACGGGCGAGCCUGUCCCGCUCGUCGAGUUCCCGCCGCCCCUGGGGCUGGUGCCGCUCCCCCGCAUGCGACUGCUCGAAGACGCCAGCAAGUCGGUCCUGCUCCCGGAGCGCAAGCACGUGGAUACGUCGUGUGUGAUCCAGUUCCACGUAUACGCGCCUGUGGACACAACGGGGCGGCGCUCCAUGGCGACGCUGACCUUCGUCGAUGUCGCUGCGAUCCGCGAGCCGUUGUGCAAGGAGGUGUCGCAUCUCAUCGACACUGUCGAGCGGGUGGCCGGUGUGUCCACCAGCGGAGGUGACCCUAACUUCAAGGAGACAAGGCUGACGACCUUGCUAGAGCCUGUGCUAGUGGGGUACAUCACCCUCGUCUCCAUUACCACCGUCAGCGGCCGCGCCGACCUCUACGAGUCCACAUGUACGGCACUGCGCUUCGCUAGCCACCUCAGUCGCAUUCACCAAGUUCUCAUGCUCAUCCACAUGAACGCACCGCGAUGGAUCUUCGACACGGCGGUGAAUCUGGAGCAGCUGCGGAUGCGCCGUGAUCAGCUCAUGGCGGAGCACUACGCCCGUGGCGUGUACGACUGCUAUCAGCGCACCUCCCGCUGGCUGCAGGCCAACGUCAGCGAUGUUGGCGGCAGUGUCGAUGACCUGCUGCAGGAGACGGCGCGUCUUCGCAAGGACAUUGCGCGGGCUGUUGAGGACAUAGCUAAGGAGCUGCAGGCGGCCAUUGAGAGGGAGGAUGCGAACUGCCGGGCCGAGGUGGAGGCGGCGCGGACGGCGUACGAGGCCACGUCGCAGCUGUUCGAGGAGGUACGGCGGUUGGAUGAGAUCAUCACCGCCCAGCAGCAGAAAAUAUCUCAGACGGACAUGCAGAGCAGCCAGCGCAUUAGUGAGAUGCGGCUAGAGAUAUCCGCCCUAGAGGCCAAGGCUAACAACCGCCAGCAGCAGCUUCAGCAGCUCGAGAAGGAGAUGAGGCUCUAUUUGCUCAAGAGCGGCGAGGUGGCCGCGACGUUGAGCAAGGCCGCGGAGGACACGCAGUAUGCGCAGAGCAGCUACGCCAUGUCGCACGAGCUGCUGCAGAUUGGACGCAAGCGCAAGCGUCUUGAGGCUGAUUUGGAGCUGGCGUCGCACGUGGCACAACGCACGACAGACACAAUGCGGGUAGAUCGGGAGCGACGCUCGCGCAUUUCGCGACUGAGCGCGAUGCAGCAGCGCGUCCAUUCCCUGCGCGAUACCGUGUGCUGCUCCACAAGUAACCCGACGACGGCACCGUCGCAGCACCCACAACAGCCGUCGCAACGCGCGUUCUCCGCGGGGAGUCGCUCCGGUCAGACUCAAUAGGCGAGCGUGUGUGUUUGGGGACAUCAGCCAAUGGCUGUGGGGCGUAGUACGUGUUAGCGAUGUAGAGAGCGAUGACGUGCGUAACCGUGUGUGUGCGUGCGCAUGCCUCCCUUCCCCUCCUUUCGCACUUGUACAACUCUUUCUUAUUUUGAAAUUUAGAUUCUUGUGCGUGCAACGCUUGCGCGCUUGCUUGUCUGUCCUGUUGCGGGUGUCGAUGCUUCGCAUCCGUUGUCGUCGGCCGGCACAGAUACGCGCACCCACGCAUGCAAUGGCAGCAUUGUGUGCGCGUGCGCAUGAGUGUGUCUCUGUGUGUGCAUGUGGUCUCCGUGCCGUGUUCUCUGUUUUUGUGUUCUCUUCCUUCUCCCUCCUCCGUCUCCGUCUCUUGUACGAGCUACUCAAUACUCAAGUUUUGUUUUUCGUCUUUUACGUCUGUUGCGGAUGUGAUGCCGUUCGCCUCCCUCCUCGUCGCCCUUCUCGACGUCUACUCUGCCCUUACAGGCCAUGAAAGCCAGCAAGCAAAGGACACACCGCUGACAGUCAGGGAUACGAUGUCAAGCUGCAGUUCAUGGACAUUGAACUCGUGGGGGUGAAGGAGUAUGCCUGUGUGCGUGCAAUGCCACCCAUCGUGAGCUCUCUCUCGCCGUAGCCUCCCUCUCUUCUCCCCCGAUGUUGUUGCUCGGUGGAUGCCUCGUGUAUUGUAAUCACGCAUGUCUGUGCGUGCUUGUGCCUCGCAGAAUGUGCUGUCGUCUCCAGAUCUGCUGCUGAAGUAGGGCUGCAGAGCGAGAGAAGAGUAGUAUGUGGGGGAGGGGGAGGGAGGGAGGGGGGCGUUGCCGUUGCUGCGCCUUGAUGCGUGCGAAAACGGAAAAGCAUCAUUCUUCGCUGCUUCUCUUGUCUUUUCCUUUCUCCAUUCUCUCUUGCCAUCACGUCACCUUCGCUGCCUCUCUGUCUCCGUCUCUGUCUCGGUGUGUGUGUGUGUGUGUACGUACGGUACCUCGACGCUGAACAUCGACACCACUACAG
This 3928-nucleotide unclassified non-coding RNA is filed under the name Leishmania donovani. Its description in RNAcentral is "gene:LdHU3.06.0550(CDS-product:hypothetical_prote in_conserved)". Lineage: Eukaryota; Euglenozoa; Kinetoplastea; Trypanosomatida; Trypanosomatidae. The record is from RNAcentral.